CGGCGGACGGGUGAGUAACACGUGGAUAACCUACCUAUAAGACUGGGAUAACUUCGGGAAACCGGAGCUAAUACCGGAUAAUAUAUUGAACCGCAUGGUUCAAUAGUGAAAGACGGUUUUGCUGUCACUUAUAGAUGGAUCCGCGCCGCAUUAGCUAGUUGGUAAGGUAACGGCUUACCAAGGCAAGAUGCGUAGCCGACCUGAGAGGGUGAUCGGCCACACUGGAACUGAGACACGGUCCAG
RNAcentral lists this ribosomal RNA (243 nucleotides) under uncultured Staphylococcus sp. RNAcentral's name for it is "partial 16S ribosomal RNA". It matches the Rfam family "Bacterial small subunit ribosomal RNA", at positions 96 to 334 of the family's 1533-position model. Lineage: Bacteria; Bacillati; Bacillota; Bacilli; Caryophanales; Staphylococcaceae. The record is from RNAcentral.